GCAGACACACCGGCCCUGCUUUAGACAAAUGUUUUCAGACCAAUGAAAAAGUUCCAGUGCUCUAAAUAUUUAGAAAAAAAUUUACCACAAAAGUUUAUAUAUACAUUUUUUUUAAGUUUCCAAGACUUCAAAUGGAUCUGUUUUGAAUGGUGGGUUUUUAGGGCGAGGCGUUCUGCCCGGCUCAUCUUCACUGAUCCCACCUGGUCUGACUGAAUCACCACACCUGCUGCUCAGCGCUGGGAUGACUGCCUCCGCAGCAGGAGGAUCCGAACGGCUUGUUUUCAGUCGAGGUGUUACAUCACCGCCGGCUGAGGUCCUCUGGGUCCGAGUGGAAACUGGAGACUGAAACAGACGGGUGAACGCACGUGAACAUGCACGCGUCCAGAUGCCGCCGCUCUGCUAACGCUGGAAACAUCUGCAGGAACGAUGAGGGAUGAUGUCUGUGGAAAAUGACAGAACAGAAAACUUUCCUGAGGUCAGAGGUCCUGCAAAUGUAAAACCAACUGGAAUCAAAUAAAAAAAUCCAUGCUAUAAGUUUCACAGAAAAGCACAUUGUAGUUUAUGCAACUAAGGAGUCUGCGUUGAUCUGUCUGAUACCAACCAGAUUGAUCUGUCUGAGGCAAGCUGUUCAUCAAAUCGGCCUUAACCAUCAUAAAAUCCUUUCAGAACGAAAUAAAUUAUUUAUGUCGGCCUCAGGAAAAUACCAUCUG
Long non-coding RNA from Oryzias latipes (Japanese medaka), 710 nucleotides. RefSeq lists it as uncharacterized. The record is from RefSeq and is a predicted model, not a curated record. NCBI's taxonomy places the organism in Eukaryota, Metazoa, Chordata, Actinopteri, Beloniformes, Adrianichthyidae.